Molecule: ribosomal RNA, 194 nt
Filed under: Peptostreptococcus stomatis
Lineage: Bacteria; Bacillati; Bacillota; Clostridia; Peptostreptococcales; Peptostreptococcaceae
Description: partial 16S ribosomal RNA
Rfam family: Bacterial small subunit ribosomal RNA
Source: RNAcentral
UAUAUUUGCGGCAUCGCAGAUAUAUCAAAGUGUUAGCGGUAUAGGAUGGACCCGCGUCUGAUUAGCUAGUUGGUGAGAUAACUGCCCACCAAGGCGACGAUCAGUAGCCGACCUGAGAGGGUGAUCGGCCACAUUGGAACUGAGACACGGUCCAAACUCCUACGGGAGGCAGCAGUGGGGAAUAUUGCACAAUG